Molecule: unclassified non-coding RNA, 3340 nt
Filed under: Hevea brasiliensis (rubber tree)
Lineage: Eukaryota; Viridiplantae; Streptophyta; Magnoliopsida; Malpighiales; Euphorbiaceae
Source: RNAcentral
CUUUCUUUUUGUCUUCCUUUCCUUUUAAUGCUCAAAAAGAUGCUCCUUUUACUUGCUGCGCCCUGCGGGACUGGAGAAGCUUUUUAUCUCUCUCAUCUUCACCUCACGUUUGUUACUCUCUGUCUUUGGCGGCUUAGUUGAGGUUUGAAAUUCUGGACUUUGAGUCUUUGAUAUAUAGUAACAGCUGAUACUUGUUGAGAAGCUGUUUCUCUGGAAUGAAACUCUGAAAUGGUGAAAAGUCAUAGCAUAUUUUGAAGUUGGUACCUUUUGGCUUUGUGGGUGUUUGGUAUUGUUAUUGGGAAAUUUGAAGUGUUUGGGAGGUGUUGAGUAGUACUGGGUUUUGUUACUAAGAGUUGGAUUACUUUUUAAUUUUUGUUCUGGGUAUGUUCUGUUGUGGAUAGCUUUUUGUAAUAUAGAUGAUCAUGGAUCCACGUUUAAAAGGAUUAUAUGGUUCUGUCAGUGGCUUAAAACUCAACGAUGAGAGCCUUUCUGUUUUAUCAGGUCAGAAUCUCGUUAGUGGAUUAAAGUUGGAUAAUUCUUUUGUUAGCCAAAACUAUGCCAAUAUUCCUCCUUUGCCAUCUGAUGUAACUCUAACCCCUAAUAAUUCAGUCUUGUCUUUGAGUAAGAGCCAAGUUGGGCAUUCCCAUGAGGAUUUUGAUUUCAGUGAUGUGGUUCUGAGGUACAUUAGUCAGAUGCUUAUGGAAGAAGAUAUAGAAGAGAAAACAUGUAUGUUUCAAGAAUCUUCAACAGCACUUCAAGCUGCUGAGAAAUCAUUGUAUGAGCUUAUUGGGGAGAAGUAUCCUCCUUCACCCAAUUGUGACUCAGUACUACCUCAUUUAGAUCAAAACCACAGAAGUUCAUAUCAAAAUCCUGACUUGAAUUACGUUAAUUGUGCAAGCAGUUCAAGCAGCACUAGUGGUAGUAACUUAAUAGAUCCUGGUUUGAACUUGAACUAUGAUCUGAGCGAGUACAAGUCGUUAAGAUAUGCUUCUCAAUCACCUUCCCAGUCAUCUCAUAACUCUGGGAACAGCACAGGUGCUGUUGUUGAUUGGCUUGUGGAUUCUCCAGUGAGUACAAUUUCUGAGAUAUUUAGUGACAGUGAGUCUAUUAUGCAGUUUAAGAAAGGAUUCGAAGAAGCAAGUAAGUUCAUUCCAAAUGGUAGUCUGUUUAUUGAUUUGGAGAGUAAUGGGCUGUUUCUUAAAGACCUGAAUGGAGAGUCUAAGGAUGUGGCUGUCAAGGUUGAGGAGAAGCAGGAGAUUGGGUACUUUCCAGAUGAUUCAAGGAAAAAGAAGAAUCCUUAUUCAGAGGAUUUGAAUAUAGAGGGAGGAAGGAGUAACAAGCAGUCUGCAGUUUCAACCGAAUCAACUGUAAGUUCAGCAGAUUUUGACACAAUAUUGCUGAACUGUGGACAAAGUGAAUCUGCACUCCGGGAAGCUUUGCAGAAUGGAAAAAGCAAGAAUGUGCAGCAGAAUGGACAAAUAAAAGGGUCUAGUGGUGGAAAAGGUCGAGGUAAGAAACAGGGAGGUAGGAGGAAUGUGGUGGAUUUGAGAACACUUUUGACCCUUUGUGCACAAGCUGUUGCAGCUGAUGAUCGUAGAAAUGCAAAUGAUCUACUGAAGCAAAUCAGACAGAAUGCUUCUCCUACAGGUGACGGGAUGCAGAGAGUGGCGCACAUUUUUGCUGAUGGCCUUGAGGCUCGCAUGGCUGGCUCAGGAACCCAGAUUUACAAGGCAUUUAUGAGAAAGCAUACGUCAGCUGCUGAUGUCUUGAAAGCAUACCAUCUGUUUCUUGCAGCAUGUCCUUUUAGGAAACUGUCCAAUUUCUUCUCAAAUAAAACAAUUAUGAAUUUAGCUCAAAAUGCAACAAAACUGCAUAUUGUUGAUUUUGGUAUUCUUUAUGGUUUCCAAUGGCCUUGCCUUAUUCAGCGUCUCUCAUCUAGGCCUGGUGGACCUCCCAAGCUUCGAAUUACUGGGAUUGAUUUUCCACAUCCGGGUUUCCGACCAGCGGUAAGGGUUGAGGAGACAGGACACCGCUUGUCAAACUAUGCAAAAACUUUCAAUGUUCCAUUUGAGUUUCACGCGAUAGCACAUAAGUGGGAUACAAUCAAAAUUGAGGAUCUAAAGAUUGAUAGAGAUGAGGUCCUUGUCGUGAACUGUCUGUAUCGAUUAAGAAACUUACUUGACGAGACUGUGGUUGUGGAGAGUCCACGAAAUAUUGUUCUCAAUCUGAUCAGGAAGAUGAACCCAGAUGUUUUUAUAACUGGGAUAGUGAAUGGAGCGUACAGCGCUCCAUUUUUUAUCACACGAUUCCGAGAGGCUCUCUUCCACUACACAACCCUGUUUGAUAUGCUGGAGACUAAUGUGCCUCGUGAAAUCCCAGAGAGGAUGCUGAUUGAGAGAGAUAUUUUUGGAUGGGAAGCAAUGAAUGUCAUUGCAUGUGAAGGUGCUGAGAGAAUUGAGAGGCCAGAGACAUACAAGCAGUACCAGGUUCGUGCUUUAAGGGCUGGGUUUAAGCAGCUUCCUUUGAACCAGGAGAUCUUUGCGGUAGCGAAGGAGAAGGUAAAUGCACUAUACCAUAAGGAUUUUGUGAUUGAUGAAAAUAGCCAGUGGUUGCUCCAAGGAUGGAAGGGUCGGAUUGUUUAUGCACUCUCUUCAUGGAAGCCGGAUUCUUAAUGUGCUCCAUUCCAUAUUGGUAGGCAGAGGAUCACAAGUUUCUACUUGUGGUCAAUGUCCUGCCUAUGUGCAAUGAUGGUUUCUUUCAUGAAUUUCUGAUCAAUGAACUUAAGGUCAAGGCACUUACCUGGAAACUGGGAGUGGAUCUUUUGCUGUUGCUGAUUAUGAUGCUAUUACACGGCAAUCCUGUAGUUGCAUGUAGCACCAGCAAUUAUCAAUUUGUCAAGGAGAAAGAUUCAUCUGGUGUACAUGAAACCUGAUUCGUCUUAUAUCUCUGGUGGGAAUGGCUUAUAACAUGGUAAACAUAUGAAUGCAGGAAAAAAAAGGAAGAGAAAGGGAAGAAAAAAAAAUGGUGCCUGAACACUGUCUCAAUGUUUCAUCAAAGAUAAAUCUAAAUAAUGAUUAUAUUUAGGGUAUUCAUAGUAAUUUUUAGGAUUUGAUAAUUGAUUUUGAGGACUCUUUGCAUAGAAAAAGAUAAUGUAAAUGCAGUAUUGCCCUGGCUGUUCUUGUACCUGAAAAUUUUGUUGCAAGGGGCCAUCUUGACUAUGUGAUUUAAUUUAAGUAGUCCUUGUAUGGUUUUUCCUUUUUUACUAAUAAUUUUUCAACUCAAGUGAUUGUAUUAGUAUUAUCCUUCAACCUUAAUUUGUAUAAUAAAAUUUUUUAAGUUU